This 225-nucleotide unclassified non-coding RNA is filed under the name plant metagenome. RNAcentral describes it as "partial contains small subunit ribosomal RNA, internal transcribed spacer 1, and 5.8S ribosomal RNA". The record is from RNAcentral.
UCUCCGUUGGUGAACCAGCGGAGGGAUCAUUACAGGACUCGCAAGACUCCUACAACCCUGUGAACUUAACUAUAAGCACGUUGCUUCGGCGGGUGUCUCGGAGAGGGUUCUCCCUCCCCGGGGCGCUAAGUCCGCCGGCAGCCUACUAUACUCUGUCUCUUUGCGUUGGCAUCUCGAGUACAAUCAAACAAGUUAAAACUUUCAACAACGGAUCUCUUGGUUCUG